UGAAAAAUAAAAGGCGCUUCCUGGUGACCUCACGCAGCGUCACUAACCUGCCAAAUUGUUUUUCUGUAUUGUGCGCUGCUCUGACACAGACAACUGAUUAUGAGAAGCUGAAGUUACAGAGAGCAUCAAGAACAAGUGUAUUUCAAGUACACUGGACAUGUCAGACCCUAAAAGAGCUGGAGCCGAUGCUGGAUCAGUAGUGUCAGACCCUCAACACUCCCAAAAGCUUCUAAGGGUCCUUCAGUCUUUCAGACAAGAUGAUUGUUUUCAAGAUGCAGUGCUGGUUUUGGAUGGUGAACAGAUUCCUGUUC
Long non-coding RNA from Sinocyclocheilus anshuiensis, 311 nucleotides. RefSeq lists it as uncharacterized. The transcript has 2 exons. The record is from RefSeq and is a predicted model, not a curated record. Lineage: Eukaryota; Metazoa; Chordata; Actinopteri; Cypriniformes; Cyprinidae.